AUCCUUUUGUAGUUCGUAAGUGUGAUGACUGAGUUUUCGUGCUCAUGUGUGAGAUAUGUCCCUCUCGAACCUUGUUACAUCACGUUACCCACAUUACCUGUCUUACG
This is a small nucleolar RNA of Nycticebus coucang (slow loris), 107 nucleotides long. RefSeq annotates it as small nucleolar RNA U13. Lineage: Eukaryota; Metazoa; Chordata; Mammalia; Primates; Lorisidae. The record is from RefSeq and is a predicted model, not a curated record. The transcript has a single exon.